AGGUAGGAGAGAAAGAAACCAGGAGAGCUAAGGAAGGGGCGUGAAAAAAGCCUCACAGCUGCCCUGAAGCAGUUUUUGCCCUGUUCAGAAAGGAAGAGGUUUUGCAGUGGUUUUGUCAACCAAGCGGCAUCUGCAGUCUCAUUGCUGUUGGUGACCUCUGUCUAAUUAAAAGUGAUAAAAAGGAAAAUUAUCUAUCUGCAGUAAGGAACAACAUCUCCCGAGCCGAGUCCGCACCUUCAGUUGCAACGAUUCAGAGAUUCCUUCUUGCAAAAGCCAUGAAGGAGAUGUCUCGUGAUGAAUACUUUCUUCUAUAACACCAUAUUCACAGUGCUUCUCAUGUUAUAGUGGACGGCUCUGAAGGAAGCAGAUGUGAGAUUACCUUUAAAUUCCGUACAGG
Molecule: long non-coding RNA, 397 nt
Filed under: Rattus norvegicus (Norway rat)
Lineage: Eukaryota; Metazoa; Chordata; Mammalia; Rodentia; Muridae
Description: long non-coding RNA NONRATT018201
Source: RNAcentral